AGAGUUUGAUCAUGGCUCAGGACGAACGCUGGCGGCGUGCCUAACACAUGCAAGUCGAACGGAGAUAAGCGCUGAUGAUUUAGCUUGCUAGAGAUUCUUGCUUAUCUGAGUGGCGGACGGGUGAGUAACGCGUGGGUAACCUGCCCUGUACAGGGGGAUAACAGCCAGAAAUGGCUGCUAAUAUCGCAUAAGCGCACAGGAAGACAUCUUCCGG
This 214-nucleotide ribosomal RNA is filed under the name uncultured bacterium. RNAcentral describes it as "partial 16S ribosomal RNA". It matches the Rfam family "Bacterial small subunit ribosomal RNA", at positions 8 to 198 of the family's 1533-position model. The record is from RNAcentral.